Molecule: ribosomal RNA, 466 nt
Filed under: uncultured bacterium
Lineage: Bacteria
Description: bacterial SSU rRNA
Rfam family: Bacterial small subunit ribosomal RNA
Source: RNAcentral
CCUACGGGAGGCAGCAGUGGGGAAUAUUGCGCAAUGGGGGAUACCCUGACGCAGCGACGCCGCGUGAGCGAAGAAAGCCUUAGGGUUGUAAAGCUCUGUUGUAAGGGAAGAAGUUCUUGAGCAAUAAUACAGCUUGAGAGUGACGGUACCUUACUAGAAAGCCCCGGCUAACUACGUGCCAGCAGCCGCGGUAAGACGUAGGGGGCGAGCGUUGUCCGGAAUUACUGGGCGUAAAGAGCACGUAGGCGGAUAUUUAAGUCAGAUGUGAAAGACCGCAGCUCAACUGCGGGGUUGCAUUUGAAACUGGGUAUCUUGAGGGCAGGAGAGGGCAGUGGAAUUCCUGGUGUAGCGGUGAAAUGCGUAGAAAUCAGGAGGAACACCAGUGGCGAAGGCGACUGUCUGGACUGACCCUGACGCUGAGGUGCGAAAGCGUGGGUAGCAAACAGGAUUAGAUACCCGUGUAGUC